AACGGCCGUACCAUGCUGAAUAUACCGGCUCUCGUCAGAUCACCGAAGUUAAGCAUCAUUGGGCGCGGUCAGUACUUGGGUGGGUGACCACCUGGGAACACUGCGUGCCGUU
This 112-nucleotide ribosomal RNA is filed under the name Caerostris darwini. Lineage: Eukaryota; Metazoa; Arthropoda; Arachnida; Araneae; Araneidae. The record is from RNAcentral.